Molecule: ribosomal RNA, 427 nt
Filed under: Klebsiella pneumoniae
Lineage: Bacteria; Pseudomonadati; Pseudomonadota; Gammaproteobacteria; Enterobacterales; Enterobacteriaceae
Also listed under: 1 other name
Description: partial 16S ribosomal RNA
Rfam family: Bacterial small subunit ribosomal RNA
Source: RNAcentral
UCAAGUCGGAUGUGAAAUCCCCGGGCUCAACCUGGGAACUGCAUUCGAAACUGGCAGGCUAGAGUCUUGUAGAGGGGGGUAGAAUUCCAGGUGUAGCGGUGAAAUGCGUAGAGAUCUGGAGGAAUACCGGUGGCGAAGGCGGCCCCCUGGACAAAGACUGACGCUCAGGUGCGAAAGCGUGGGGAGCAAACAGGAUUAGAUACCCUGGUAGUCCACGCCGUAAACGAUGUCGAUUUGGAGGUUGUGCCCUUGAGGCGUGGCUUCCGGAGCUAACGCGUUAAAUCGACCGCCUGGGGAGUACGGCCGCAAGGUUAAAACUCAAAUGAAUUGACGGGGGCCCGCACAAGCGGUGGAGCAUGUGGUUUAAUUCGAUGCAACGCGAAGAACCUUACCUGGUCUUGACAUCCACAGAACUUUCCAGAGAUGG